GAUGAACUUGCCUAUGGGAUAUACCACUUUUCCUUUUUGAUUCAUAACCAUUCACAUAAUUAUUUAUAUAAUAUGGAGUGCUUAAAAAUGAUAUAGAGUUAUAAGAAUAGAAGCGUGACUUUAUUCAGCGAGCUAUCGGACCUUCACCAUUCUGUAUUGAAAAAUAAACAAUUGAAAUGUAAAUGUAAAAGAAUUAAAACCAAGUUUCAUACAUAAAGAUUCUGCAGGGAGAUGGAUCCAUUCAGUUGUUUGGACAGUUCAGUCUGAAUUAACGUGUAGGCACAAUAUUGCUUUUCACUGUUGAGCAUUUGCAGUCAUUAAGUGUGAUCUUUGAUAUUAGUCCAUCAGUUUGAUUGUAAUUUAGUAGGUCUUAUAUGUAUAUAAUGUUUUCCAUUACCAGUGCAGUAAGUUCUGAUUUUUUUUAAGAAAUUGCAAAAUGGUAUGCAUAUUCAUAAUUAAAAUAAUUAAAUUAUGGAAAUGACAAGUUGAAGUUUUCCAUUAUAUAUUGUGAGGAAUCUUAAAAAUUAGUAUUUUUGAGCAGUGUACAUGCAUUCCAUUGUGGUUAUAAUCAAAUAUAAGGAAGUAGAGAUUCUUAUUAUCAGUAAACAGUUUUUAUUGCUUGGGGAAUAUGUUUUGAUCUCACUGGAUUAUCUUCAGGUCCUACAGAUACAUUUCUUAAUCUGAAGCAGAAUUACAUAUGGUUUGAGAUUGUCUGAAAGUUUAUAUCACAAAAUAGAAAGAAAAAAUUAAAUCUGUAGAACGUUUGAAUGUAUUAGUCAAAUAGAUUAAAACAAUUUUGAAAAUUAUUAUAUAUAUUGGCUAAUGAAGUUAUAAGCAAGAGAAUCGAUAUAAAACAUGCACAUAUGUAUUUAAAUACUGAUUUGUUCCAUUUUUAGUUAUUAUUUUGAGUCUGUGUAUGCACCAUAUGUAUUAUUUUAGAGUGGUUGUAUCAGAUGGGUGCAUUAUAUUGUGUUGAGUAAAGUCAUUGGAUUUUUUUAUAUAUGUGUAUGCCUGUAUCACUUGACACCCAGGAGACAGCAGGCAGAUGUAGUAUUAAGGUUUUAUACACAGUCUCUUGCUUAUAAUUGCAUUAGCCAAUGUUUCUAAUAUUUCUCAAAAUGUUUUAAUCAAUUUGACUGAUAAAUUCAAAACAACAAUUUUAGUAUUAUGGCUCUCCCUCUUCCUCCCCCAAACCCCUAUUUUGAUAUAAACUUUUUGACAAUCUCAAACCAGAGUAAGAAAUCUGUGUCUAGAGCCUGAGGAUAAUCCAGUGAGAUAAAAACAUGUCACCCUGAUAAAAAAGAUUUAAUUGAUAUACAGAUAGGUGUUUUCACUGCUUUAUUAUACUUGAUAUGCAUGCACUUUGAAGGUAUUUACAUAUUGUGAUUCCAUGCAAUUACUAGAUCUGGUUCACAUUGCUCUGAAGUCUUUAUGAGAAGCCAUAAAUCAAUAUUAGCAUGUUGUCAGGUAUUUAAGUUUGAAGUAAUAGGAAACAGUUUUAAUGCCAACUUAAUGUACAGGGUGCGGCAGUGGAAUGUGACGGUUUUCAGAGCGCUAUUGUGGCAAACUCGGGUCGAAUUAAAAUAAAACACUUUCACUUUAAAAACAGCAGAACAAUGCAAUUUAUUAAUCUCUGCUUAUUUCUUAAUAACAUUUGUCAAGUGGCCUCCAUGACAACGAAUACGUUCUUGUAAUCUAGACCGGAAAUUGCCCAUAACUCGUAGCAAUAAAGCUCGAAUUUCUUCAGUGAUGCAUUGUUUUAACUCCAUGAUGGUGCGUGGUUUGUUAACAUACACUCUAGACUUCAAAUAUACCCAUAGGAAGUAACCGGCAGCUGUUAGAUCAGGGGACCUAGGCGGCCAGGCGACGUCUCCAAAUCGGGAAAUGAUGUGUCCGGAAAACAUGGCUCGCAGACAGUUCAUCGAUUCACGAGCUGUGUGUGCUCUGCACAAAUGUAAUUUUGUAGGGAUGAAAUUUGAGGUCCUCAUGCAGAAUACGGUGAACACUCCUGUCUGAUAGGUGUAAUGCAGCUGAUUGACGCCUAGCAGAGCAAGUUGGACUCUGCUGCACCGCUUCCCUAACCUUCGCAAUGUUCUCUGGUGUGCGUACUCUUCGUGCACUACCAGCAAAACGAUCACAAAAUGUUACUGAAGUUUACCACCUACCUCAAAAUAAUGCUACGGGUAGGAAUUCUUCCAUGCUGUACAACAUUAAAUGCACACCUUAUAUCUUCUCUGGACCUGGAUUAUGGAUUUGCAUUCAAUAAAUGCUGUUACCGCGAAUACGCAUUCCGCCACCGACCUGUUAGCCAUACUGUCUCUCACUACACGGGCAGAAGAAACUGCAUCCCUUGGUGGUCACGUAGCCACACACACUUCCCCAACACUCAAUAACGUUAGCUGCAGCUGCACUCUGAAAACCGUCACAUUCCACUUCCGCAUCCUAUAUAUAAUUUUAAAAUGGCAUCGUUAAUUCUGUAUUGACAUGUUAAGGAUCAGAUUGCAUGUAUUAAUGUACUGAAAUGAUGUUCCAUAUAAUUUUGCAGCUUCUCUAUUUUUAGCUUAGUUUUGUUUCUUGAAGAAAUUGGUUUGUUAGAUGACCUUGCUCUUUGUGUCUCUCCCCUUUAAACUUCUGAACCACUUUUCUGGUUUUCACAAAUUUUUGUAUGAACAUUUUGCCAUUGAUGACCAUCCAAACUUCAUAUAUUCUACAGUGUGGGAAACAGCAAACACAAGAACUUGUGGGGUGGAAUCUAUAUUAGCGCUCUUCCUAUACACUCCUCAAAUAAUGUGGUAAUUGGUGCUGGAAAUAUAUGCAAUUUUUGUUAAGGUAAUUUCUUGUAAAGUGUAAAAAGAUAACAUGGUGGCCUUGCAGAUAUUCUCAUUUAGUGUUCUGUUUGAUGGCAAUAAUCAAUGGAUUAUUGUAGCUAUAAAUAUGAAAUUUGUUAUUUAUAGAAGAUGGAUAUGAAGACAUAUACAUUCUUACAGAUUAUAUAUAAAAUAUAGUGUAUAAGUCAAAAAUUACAGUUAAUGGCAAUGAUGCAAAAUUUUGAAGUUGCGUUCAACAAAUUUAAUGUAAACAGGAUCUGUACUUAACAAGUUGUUUUGAGAAAAGGAAAAAAAUAGUAGUAGUAUGUAAUAAUAACAGUAGUAGUACCUAAGAUAUUUACAAUUUCACUAAUGUUUGUAAGUCUGUGCAAAGUAUCAUAGGCUUUAUUCUGCCAAUAACUCCUUGUUAAAAUAUACAUUUGAAGUUCUUGCAAAAUUAUGCUGUAGUUGCCUAUAGUAUCCUGCACUUCAGAUUCAAAGUCUGUUGUAUCUGAAUGUGAGACAUUUUCUUCUGCUUAGCAUUUGGAAGAGCAGUGGUUAUCCCCACUUUCCAACUUUAUAUUACCUCUAUAAUUAACAUUGAUGUUGUCAUCUGUAGUUCUGUAUGUUUUUGCUGGGAGUCUGUUGCUGCAUGGAAACAUUUCUUCAUCCCUGUGCAGGAACAAGGUGCACCACACCAUCACAUCAAUAAUGUCCCAGUGUGGGCCAUCAUGCAAUAUUUAACAGUAAUUCUAUCAACAGCUGCACAUAAGAAUUUCUAUAUAGCAGGGGUAAAAUCUGUAGACUAAGAAAUGCUUUACUGGGAUUAAAGUGAAUACAUUGUGAAUAGUAUUCUGGAACUGAUGGUCUCUGGGUAAUAUACAGGACUCAGACUUGAAUGCACAGAUAUGGUGCCUGUCAUUUUGUUGCAAAGGUGCAAAAGUUCAAAUUAAAAACAUUCCUUUUCCUCACAGGUGUUCACACUGAAGAAACUUGAAAGAUCUAUCUGACAUAUGGAACAGAAAUUUGGGAAUGGGCUAAGAGAGAUAUAAAUGGGUUGCAAGUGGUAGUCAGAUGAAAUAUUCAAAAAUGAACGAGGAUUAAAAUCUGAAGUCAGGACAUAGGCAAGACCUGAAAAUUAAAUCACAAGAAGAAACGUUUGUCAAACUGAGGACAUGUUAGGAUUUCUUUGGAAGCAUCAAACUGAAUGUAUUGAAUAAAAAAGUAGAGAGUAAUAGCUGUGAACAGUUGUACCUGGUGUAAAGUCUUGUCUCUGUAAUGAAGAAUAUGAUUUGUAAACUGAGAGAACAUUAAGCAAAAUAACACUAAUUUAUAAAAGUUA
Molecule: non-coding RNA, 4149 nt
Organism: Zootermopsis nevadensis
Lineage: Eukaryota; Metazoa; Arthropoda; Insecta; Blattodea; Termopsidae
Source: RefSeq, a predicted model, not a curated record